UGGGGAAUAUUGCACAAUGGGCGGAAGCCUGAUGCAGCGACGCCGCGUGGGGGAUGACGGCCUUCGGGUUGUAAACUCCUUUCACCAUCGACGAAGGUUUUCUGACGGUAGAUGGAGAAGAAGCACCGGCUAACUACGUGCCAGCAGCCGCGGUAAUACGUAGGGUGCGAGCGUUGUCCGGAAUUACUGGGCGUAAAGAGCUCGUAGGUGGUUUGUCGCGUCGUCUGUGAAAUUCCGGGGCUUAACUCCGGGCGUGCAGGCGAUACGGGCAUAACUUGAGUACUGUAGGGGAGACUGGAAUUCCUGGUGUAGCGGUGAAAUGCGCAGAUAUCAGGAGGAACACCGGUGGCGAAGGCGGGUCUCUGGGCAGUAACUGACGCUGAGGAGCGAAAGCAUGGGUAGCGAACAGGAUUAGAUACCCUGGUAGUCCAUGCCGUAAACGGUGGGCGCUAGGCGUAGGGGUCUUCCACGACUUCUGUGCCGUAGCUAACGCAUUAAGCGCCCCGCCUGGGGAGUACGGCCGCAAGGCUAA
Molecule: ribosomal RNA, 532 nt
Filed under: uncultured compost bacterium
Lineage: Bacteria
Description: bacterial SSU rRNA
Rfam family: Bacterial small subunit ribosomal RNA
Source: RNAcentral